UGGGGGAUAUUGCACAAUGGGCGAAAGCCUGAUGCAGCGACGCCGCGUGGGGGAUGAAGGCCUUCGGGUUGUAAACUUCUUUUGCUCUGAACAAGGCAUGCUAAUGGGUGUGUUGAGUGUAGGGGUUGAUUAGCGCCGGCUAACUACGUGCCAGCAGCCGCGGUAAUACGUAGGGCGCGAGCGUUGUCCGGAAUUAUUGGGCGUAAAGGGCUUGUAGGUGGCUGGUUGCGUCUGUCGUGAAAGCUCAUGGCUUAACUGUGGGUUUGCGGGGGGUACGGGCUGGCUUGAGUGCAGUAGGGGAGGCUGGAAUUCCUGGUGUAGCGGUGGAAUGCGCAGAUAUCAGGAGGAAUACCGGUGGCGAAGGCGGGUCUCUGGGCUGUUACUGACACUGAGGGGCGAAAGCAUGGGGAGCGAACAGG
This 419-nucleotide ribosomal RNA is filed under the name bacterium. RNAcentral's name for it is "partial 16S ribosomal RNA". It matches the Rfam family "Bacterial small subunit ribosomal RNA", at positions 355 to 776 of the family's 1533-position model. The record is from RNAcentral.